Molecule: long non-coding RNA, 684 nt
Organism: Marmota monax (woodchuck)
Lineage: Eukaryota; Metazoa; Chordata; Mammalia; Rodentia; Sciuridae
Exons: 2
Source: RefSeq, a predicted model, not a curated record
UGAGGCUUGCAAAGGGUGCAGGCUCAAGGUCACAGGGCAGAUUCCUGGCAGACAGGGCUGGAGGCCAGACCCCCUCUUAACAGCAGUGCUCUGGCCGCUCACCCUGCAGGAAGCUGCCCCUGGCCACCGACCACAGCGAGUUUCUUUCCCAACGCUGCAUCCCAGAUGGGCCUCCCACCCCCCCACCCUCUGGAGCAGCUCGGGAACACAGCCUCAUUUUCUGGCUCUCUGAGCCAAGCAGAAUCAGGAAAACAAAGCGGUUGCUGGGAAAAGCCACAUACAGAGGAGCCCGCGGGGGACGCGCAGGACGGAGGCAGCCGACUCGCCAGAAAUGGUGGGGAGGCAGGAGGAGCUGUCAGCAAAAGGUGGAAGUAACUCAAAGGUCCAGAGAUGGAUGAACGGAUAAGAAAAGUGAUGUGUACAUACAACGGAAUAUUAUUCAGCCGUAAAGAAGAAGGGGAUCCUGACACAUGCCACACCAUGGAUAAACUCUGAAUACAAUAUAAGCAGAAUCAACCAGACACAAAAGGACAAACAUCAUGAUUCCACAUAGAUGAGGUUUCUAGAAUAAUCCAAAUCAUACAGAAAGUAGGAUGGUGAUUGUGAGGGGCUGGAAACAGGGUGGGGAAUGGUUGUCUAAUGGGUGUAGAGUUUCAGUCUAAGACACUUCAUUCAUCUCUGAAA